AUUGAACGCUGGCGGCAGGCCUAACACAUGCAAGUCGGGCGAACGAGGCUUCGGCCAAGUGAGCGGCGAACGGGUGAGUAACACGUAGGAAUCUGCCUGGUAGUGGGGGACAACGUCUCGAAAGGGACGCUAAUACCGCAUACGCCCUACGGGGGAACGCAGGGGCUCUUCGGCCCUUGCGCGAUCAGAUGAGCCUGCGUCGGCUUAGCUAGUUGGUAGGGUAAAGGCCUACCAGGGCGACGAUCCGUAACUGGUCUGAGAGGAUGAUCAGUCACACCGGAACUGAGACACGGUCCGGACUCCUACGGGAGGCAGCAGUGGGGAAUAUUGGACAAUGGGGGCAACCCUGAUCCAGCCAUGCCGCGUGUGUGAAGAAGGCCUUCGGGUUGUAAAGCACUUUAGGUCGGGAGGAAGGUUCGCUGGCUAAUAUCCAGCGGAAUUGACGUUACCGACAGAAUAAGCACCGGCUAACUCCGUGCCAGCCGCCGCAGUAA
This 494-nucleotide ribosomal RNA is filed under the name uncultured bacterium. RNAcentral describes it as "partial 16S ribosomal RNA". It matches the Rfam family "Bacterial small subunit ribosomal RNA", at positions 29 to 523 of the family's 1533-position model. The record is from RNAcentral.